Molecule: ribosomal RNA, 492 nt
Filed under: uncultured bacterium
Lineage: Bacteria
Description: partial 16S ribosomal RNA
Rfam family: Bacterial small subunit ribosomal RNA
Source: RNAcentral
AGUGAACGCUGGCGGUAGGCCUAACACAUGCAAGUCGAACGGCAGCACAGUAAGAGCUUGCUCUUAAGGGUGGCGAGUGGCGGACGGGUGAGGAAUACAUCGGCAUCUACUUUUUCGUGGGGGAUAACGUAGGGAAACUUACGAUAAUACCGCAUAUGACCUACGGGUGAAAGCAGGGGAUCUUCGGACCUUGCGCGACUGAAUGAGACGAUGUCGGAUUAGCUAGUUGGCUGGGUAAAGGCCCACCAAGGCAACGAUACGUAGCAGGUCUGAGAGGAUGAUCGGCCACACUGGAACUGAGACACGGUCCAGACUCCUACGGGAGGCAGCAGUGGGGAAUAUUGGACAAUGGGCGCAAGCCUGAUCCAGCCAUACCGCGUGGGUGAAGAAGGCCUUCGGAUUGUAAAACCCUUUUGUUGGGAAAGAAAAUCUGCAUGUUAAUACCCCGCUGUUCUGACGGUACCCAAUGAAUAAGCACCGGCUAACUUCGUG